Long non-coding RNA from Homo sapiens (human), 1565 nucleotides. RefSeq lists it as uncharacterized. The transcript is spliced from 2 exons. NCBI's taxonomy places the organism in Eukaryota, Metazoa, Chordata, Mammalia, Primates, Hominidae. The record is from RefSeq and is a predicted model, not a curated record.
GAAUAUGAAAGGUUCAAUCUACUUCACAUUUUUGAAGACUAUUUCAGUGUUCCCCCUAAGAUACUCAUCUCUUGGAAAACGGUAAAUGAAUGUGCUAAAGGUUAUUCAUAUUAUCAGUUACAGUUAUAAAGCAAUGGAAUUAUUUGGGAAUAAGAGCUGGUGGGGUUACAAUAUCUUGUUUUAAUAUCUGUACAUGGGAUAUUUUCACUUUUUUUCCUCCUGCAGAAUUUUCACAUCUUCAAACUUAUACUCUCCUUUUUAUUGAUUUUUGUCAGAAGUUUCUUUAUGUAACAUUACCAAAAAGACAAUGGGUUGUACCAUCUUCAAAAUUUCAGAUCAUCUCAUCUGUCCAUAAUGGCAUCUGUCACUGCAUUGGUUUCCAAGUCAAGCAGUGGGUGAACUUUCCAGCCUUCUCAAAAAAAUGUCCCAAAGGCUGUUUUAAUUCCAUCUGGAAUUAGAGUAUGCCAGUGCCAUGGAGGAAGCAGUUUUUCUUCUUUCUCUUCUCCCUAAAUGUGGUCACUCCCACACCCUCAGGUGAGCUACUUGCCGUUGGCAGGCAUCAUUCUUUCCUUUGCCAUGGCUCAUGUCAGUACAGCCAAAAUACCUGCCACAGGAAUUCCUAGCCAGGAUACUGGAAAUGACUUAUCAGAAUCUGGGCUGCCUUAGAUUGGAAUCAAUGGCUCACAAAACCGUGGAAACUCAGAAUCACGGAACAAUAGAACCUGGGAGCAGACUGUACAGGGAGUUAACAAUGUAAUUUCUUGAAGUUAAAAAGACAUCCUUGGCUGAGCGCAGUGGCAAACGCCUCUAAUCCUAGCACUUUGGGAGGCCAAGGCGGGUGGAUCACUUGAGGUCAGGAGUUUAAGACCAGCCUGGCCAACAUGCUGAAACCCCAUCUCUACCAAAAAUACAAAAAUUAGCCGGGCAUGGUGGUGCGUGCCUGUGGUCCCAGCUACCCAGGAGGCUGAGGCAAGAGAAUCGCUGGAACCCAGGAGGCAGAGUCUGCAGUGAGCCAAGAUUGUGCCACUGCACUCCAGCCUGGGCAACAGAGUAAGACUCCGUCUCAAAAAAAAAAGUCAUCUUUUCUGAUAAUGAAGAAUAUUUUCCUUCUUAUACACCCUUAGUUUAGAAAUGUGGAGAGGCGUGUUUUCCCAUAAAGAACAAGCCUGUUAAUAUUUGUUGGUUGCUGAUAUUAUACAGUCCUGGUGAAUUUUUCCUCUUCAUUGCUAGAUCCAGCCCCCAAAGAAGAGGUAUGAUUGUCCUGAAACUACGAUACUUUGAAGGAACUCUGAGAGAGCCACUUGGAGAGGCUACAUGAGGGAGUACAAAAGGGCUCUAAAUGACAGCCCCAUGUAAAAUCCCAGCCUAUAGCAAGGACCAACUGCCACCAUCGUACACAUUCCAAAUCAGUUGAACCUCCAGUGAGCCAUCUUGGAUAUUUCAAACCACUGGAGCCUUCAGGUGACUGAGGUUAUAGCUCCCACCACAUAGAGAACUACCUAGGUGAGGCCAACUAAAUCACAGACUCAUGAACAGCAAUAAAUACUUGUUACUGAUUGAAGCCA